RNAcentral lists this ribosomal RNA (465 nucleotides) under Vreelandella stevensii. RNAcentral's name for it is "partial 16S ribosomal RNA". It matches the Rfam family "Bacterial small subunit ribosomal RNA", at positions 338 to 795 of the family's 1533-position model. Lineage: Bacteria; Pseudomonadati; Pseudomonadota; Gammaproteobacteria; Oceanospirillales; Halomonadaceae. The record is from RNAcentral.
CCUACGGGGUGCUGCAGUGGGGAAUAUUGGACAAUGGGCGAAAGCCUGAUCCAGCCAUGCCGCGUGUGUGAAGAAGGCCUUCGGGUUGUAAAGCACUUUCAGUGGGGAAGAAAGCCUUGGGGCUAAUACCCUCGAGGAAGGACAUCACCCACAGAAGAAGCACCGGCUAACUCCGUGCCAGCAGCCGCGGUAAUACGGAGGGUGCGAGCGUUAAUCGGAAUUACUGGGCGUAAAGCGCGCGUAGGCGGUCUGAUAAGCCGGUUGUGAAAGCCCCGGGCUCAACCUGGGAACGGCAUCCGGAACUGUCAGGCUAGAGUGCAGGAGAGGAAGGUAGAAUUCCCGGUGUAGCGGUGAAAUGCGAAGAGAUCGGGAGGAAUACCAGUGGCGAAGGCGGCCUUCUGGACUGACACUGACGCUGAGGUGCGAAAGCGUGGGUAGCAAACAGGAUUAGAUACCCCUGUAGUC